This 73-nucleotide transfer RNA is filed under the name Canis lupus familiaris (dog). It matches the Rfam family "tRNA". From Rfam's summary of the family: Transfer RNA (tRNA) molecules are approximately 80 nucleotides in length. Their secondary structure includes four short double-helical elements and three loops (D, anti-codon, and T loops). Lineage: Eukaryota; Metazoa; Chordata; Mammalia; Carnivora; Canidae. RNAcentral also lists the same sequence under 2 other names. The record is from Rfam by way of RNAcentral.
GCCUGGCUGGCUCAGUUGGUAGAGCACAUGACUCUUCAUCUCAGCCCCGUGAGUUCAAGCCCCACGUUGGGCA